RNAcentral lists this ribosomal RNA (483 nucleotides) under Bacillus sp. IO6. RNAcentral describes it as "bacterial SSU rRNA". It matches the Rfam family "Bacterial small subunit ribosomal RNA", at positions 342 to 817 of the family's 1533-position model. Lineage: Bacteria; Bacillati; Bacillota; Bacilli; Caryophanales; Bacillaceae. The record is from RNAcentral.
CGGGAGGCAGCAGUAGGGAAUCUUCCGCAAUGGACGAAAGUCUGACGGAGCAACGCCGCGUGAACGAUGAAGGCUUUCGGGUCGUAAAGUUCUGUUGUCAGGGAAGAACAAGUACCGGAGUAACUGCCGGUACCUUGACGGUACCUGACCAGAAAGCCACGGCUAACUACGUGCCAGCAGCCGCGGUAAUACGUAGGUGGCAAGCGUUGUCCGGAAUUAUUGGGCGUAAAGCGCGCGCAGGCGGUUCCUUAAGUCUGAUGUGAAAGCCCCCGGCUCAACCGGGGAGGGUCAUUGGAAACUGGGGAACUUGAGUGCAGAAGAGGAGAGCGGAAUUCCACGUGUAGCGGUGAAAUGCGUAGAGAUGUGGAGGAACACCAGUGGCGAAGGCGGCUCUCUGGUCUGUAACUGACGCUGAGGCGCGAAAGCGUGGGGAGCGAACAGGAUUAGAUACCCUGGUAGUCCACGCCGUAAACGAUGAGUGCU